GAUAUGUAGAUUCCAAGGUAUAUCAUAAAUUGUAUGUCUUCGUUGAGGUCCGCGUUCCAGGCUUCCGGGUUUGGAACGCGGACCUCGACGAAGACACUGUUCCUGACUGCAUCGUUACCAUUUGGGAUCCUGGAUUUAGAUAGCUUCUCAAAAGUACAUUGUGCUGAAAGAACGGAAGAAUGUGAAUCCACAAUAAAAUGCAUCAAUGUAAAAUAUGUAGUAUAUCAUCCAUUUUUAGAGAAACGUAUCAAUGUGAUACAGAGAACAAACCAGAAACUGCGUAUCCAAUGUAGAAUGAAUGUAUAAAGAACUUGGUAAUUUCAAUAAUAUAUUUUAAUCCCUUAAAACCCAGUAUAAAGGGAUAUUAUUACCCUCUGAUUUAAUUUACAGGUACAUAUAUUAAGAAUAUUAUUGUACUGGGAAGGGAUUAAGUGGCUCAAUCUAUAGAAUAUUUACUGAUUUUAAGUCCCUUUUCAAUACUAGGUCAUUAAUGGCUAUUGAAUAAAAAAUAAAUUAAAAAAUAA
Molecule: long non-coding RNA, 524 nt
Organism: Mytilus californianus (California mussel)
Lineage: Eukaryota; Metazoa; Mollusca; Bivalvia; Mytilida; Mytilidae
Exons: 2
Source: RefSeq, a predicted model, not a curated record